RNAcentral lists this ribosomal RNA (253 nucleotides) under uncultured bacterium. Its description in RNAcentral is "partial 16S ribosomal RNA". It matches the Rfam family "Bacterial small subunit ribosomal RNA", at positions 524 to 776 of the family's 1533-position model. The record is from RNAcentral.
UACGGAGGGGGUUAGCGUUGUUCGGAAUGACUGGGCGUAAAGCGUGCGUAGGCGGAUCAGGAAGUUGGGGGUGAAAUCCCGGGGCUCAACCCCGGAAUGGCCUUCAAAACUCCUGGUCUUGAGUUCGAGAGAGGUGAGUGGAAUUCCGAGUGUAGAGGUGAAAUUCGUAGAUAUUCGGAGGAACACCAGUGGCGAAGGCGGCUCACUGGCUCGACACUGACGCUGAGGUGCGAAAGCGUGGGGAGCAAACAGG